This 253-nucleotide ribosomal RNA is filed under the name uncultured bacterium. RNAcentral describes it as "partial 16S ribosomal RNA". It matches the Rfam family "Bacterial small subunit ribosomal RNA", at positions 524 to 776 of the family's 1533-position model. The record is from RNAcentral.
UACGUAGGAUCCAAGCGUUGUCCGGAUUUACUGGGUGUAAAGGGUGCGCAGGCGGACUUAUAAGUCAGUGGUGAAAUCUCACAGCUUAACUGUGAAACUGCCUUUGAUACUGUAGGUCUUGAAUUAGGGAGAGAUUCGUGGAAUUCCGAGUGUAGCAGUGAAAUGUGUAGAUAUUCGGAAGAACACCAGAGGUGAAGGCAGCGAAUUGGCCCUAUAUUGACGCUCAGGCACGAAAGCAUGGGGAUCAAACAGG